This 306-nucleotide ribosomal RNA is filed under the name Triticum aestivum (bread wheat). RNAcentral describes it as "partial small subunit ribosomal RNA". The record is from RNAcentral. Lineage: Eukaryota; Viridiplantae; Streptophyta; Magnoliopsida; Poales; Poaceae.
AUGUUUAAUUGUCAAGUGGGCACCCUGCCCAUGAGAUAUUUGGGUGUUCCUGUUACAUACUCUACUCUUAAGAACAUAGAGUUGGAUUUCCUGGAGGGUAAGAUGAUUAAAAAAUUGGAUGCUUGGAUUUCUUAUGCAGCAUCAUCAGGAGCCAGACUCACUCUGUUAGGAUCCAGCCUGGAUGGGAUUCCAUCCUAUCUUAUGUCGAUGUUUCUCUUCAAUAAAACUUUUAUUGAAAAAAUGAAUAAACAUCGCAGACGAUUUUUUGGAGGAAAAAAAACAAGAAACAUGGAUACCAUAUGGUGA